UUAGAGUUUGAUCAUGGCUCAGAACGUACGCUGGCGGCACGCCUAACACAUGCAAGUCGAACGAAGUAGCAAUACUUAGUGGCAGACGGGUGAGUAACAUGUAGGUAUCUACCCUUUGGCCUGGAAUAACACGAGGAAACUUGUGCUAAUACCGGAUAAGUCUUUACGGAGAAAGCUUUAUGCACCAUUGGAUGAGCCUGCACUUGAUUAGUUUGUUGGUGGGGUAAUGGCCUACCAAGACUGUGAUCAAUAGCUGAUUUGAGAGGAUGAUCAGCCACAUUGGGACUGAGACACGGCCCAAACUCCUACGGGAGGCAGCAGUGGGGAAUCUUGCACAAUGGAGGAAACUCUGAUGCAGCGAUGCCGCGUGAGUGAAGAAGGCCCUUGGGUUGUAAAGCUCUUUCGUCGGGGAAGAAAAUGACUGUACCCGAAUAAGAAGGUCCGGCUAACUUCGUGCCAGCAGCCGCGGUAAUACGAAGGGACCUAGCGUAGUUCGGAAUUACUGGGCUUAAAGAGUUCGUAGGUGGUUGAAAAAGUUGGUGGUGAAAUCCCAGAGCUUAACUCUGGAACUGCCAUCAAAACUUUUCAGCUAGAGUAUGAUAGAGGAAAGCAGAAUUUCUAGUGUAGAGGUGAAAUUCGUAGAUAUUAGAAAGAAUACCAAUUGCGAAGGCAGCUUUCUGGAUCAUUACUGACACUGAGGAACGAAAGCAUGGGUAGCGAAGAGGAUUAGAUACCCUCGUAGUCCAUGCCGUAAACGAUGUGUGUUAGACGUUGGAAAUUUAUUUUCAGUGUCGCAGCGAAAGCGAUAAACACACCGCCUGGGGAGUACGACCGCAAGGUUAAAACUCAAAUGAAUUGACGGGGACCCGCACAAGUAGUGGAGCAUGUGGUUUAAUUCGAAGAUACGCGCAGAACCUUACCAACACUUGACAUGUUCGUCGCGACUUUAAGAGAUUAAAGUUUUCGGUUCGGCCGGACGAAACACAGGUGCUGCAUGGCUGUCGUCAGCUCGUGUCGUGAGAUGUUGGGUUAAGUCCCGCAACGAGCGCAACCCUCACUUUUAGUUGCCAUCAUUAAGUUGGGCACUCUGAAAGAACUGCCAGUGAUAAGCUGGAGGAAGGUGGGGAUGACGUCAAGUCCUCAUGGCCCUUACGUGUUGGGCUACACACGUGCUACAAUGGUAUCUACAACAGGAAGCAAGACUGCGAAGUUAAGCAAAUCCUCAAAAGAUACCUCAGUUCGGAUUGCACUCUGCAACUCGAGUGCAUGAAGCUGGAAUUACUAGUAAUCGUGGAUCAGCGUGCCACGGUGAAUGCGUUCCCG
Molecule: ribosomal RNA, 1323 nt
Filed under: unidentified marine bacterioplankton
Lineage: Bacteria
Description: bacterial SSU rRNA
Rfam family: Bacterial small subunit ribosomal RNA
Source: RNAcentral